AGCUUGCUCCUUUGACGUUAGCGGCGGACGGGUGAGUAACACGUGGGUAACCUACCUAUAAGACUGGGAUAACUUCGGGAAACCGGAGCUAAUACCGGAUAAUAUUUCGAACCGCAUGGUUCGAUAGUGAAAGAUGGUUUUGCUAUCACUUAUAGAUGGACCCGCGCCGUAUUAGCUAGUUGGUAAGGUAACGGCUUACCAAGGCGACGAUACGUAGCCGACCUGAGAGGGUGAUCGGCCACACUGGAACUGAGACACGGUCCAGACUCCUACGGGAGGCAGCAGUAGGGAAUCUUCCGCAAUGGGCGAAAGCCUGACGGAGCAACGCCGCGUGAGUGAUGAAGGUCUUCGGAUCGUAAAACUCUGUUAUUAGGGAAGAACAUACGUGUAAGUAACUGUGCACGUCUUGACGGUACCUAAUCAGAAAGCCACGGCUAACUACGUGCCAGCAGCCGCGGUAAUACGUAGGUGGCAAGCGUUAUCCGGAAUUAUUGGGCGUAAAGCGCGCGUAGGCGGUUUUUUAAGUCUGAUGUGAAAGCCCACGGCUCAACCGUGGAGGGUCAUUGGAAACU
RNAcentral lists this ribosomal RNA (572 nucleotides) under Staphylococcus sp. Its description in RNAcentral is "bacterial SSU rRNA". It matches the Rfam family "Bacterial small subunit ribosomal RNA", at positions 77 to 634 of the family's 1533-position model. Lineage: Bacteria; Bacillati; Bacillota; Bacilli; Caryophanales; Staphylococcaceae. The record is from RNAcentral.